RNAcentral lists this ribosomal RNA (476 nucleotides) under uncultured bacterium. RNAcentral's name for it is "bacterial SSU rRNA". It matches the Rfam family "Bacterial small subunit ribosomal RNA", at positions 28 to 507 of the family's 1533-position model. The record is from RNAcentral.
GACGAACGCUGGCGGCGCGCUAACACAUGCAAGUCGUGCGGUGUGGAAGGCGAAGUCUUACGACAAGCCUUCGACACAGCGGCGAACGGGUGAGUAACACGUGGGUAAACGUGCCCCUCAGACGGGAACAACAGCGGGAAACUGCUGCUAAUGCCCGAUGGUCCGGGAGAGCCGCAUGGCUUUUCCGGUAAAGCUCCGGCGCUGAGGGAUCGGCCCGCGGCGGAUUAGCUUGUUGGUGGGGUAACGGCUCACCAAGGCGACGAUCCGUAGCCGGUCUGAGAGGAUGGCCGGCCACACUGGGACUGAGACAUGGUCCAGACUCCUACGGGAGUUAGCAUCAGGGAAUCUUGCGCAAUGGGCGAAAGCCUGACGCAGCGACGCCGCGUGAGGGAUGAAGGCCUGCGGGUCGUAAACCUCUGUCAGGAGGGACGAACACCAUGACGGUACCUCCUGAGGAAGCCCCGGCUAAUUACAUG